AGUGAACGCUGGCGGUGGGCCUAACACAUGCAAGUCGAACGGCAGCACAGUAAGAGCUUGCUCCUACGGGUGGCGAGUGGCGGACGGGUGAGGAAUACAUCGGAAUCUACUUUUUCGUGGGGGAUAACGUAGGGAAACUUACGCUAAUACCGCAUACGACCUACGGGUGAAAGCAGGGGAUCUUCGGACCUUGCGCGAUUGAAUGAGCCGAUGUCGGAUUAGCUAGUUGGCGGGGUAAAGGCCCACCAAGGCGACGAUCCGUAGCUGGUCUGAGAGGAUGAUCAGCCACACUGGAACUGAGACACGGUCCCGACUCCUACGGGAGGCAGCAGUGGGGAAUAUUGGACAAUGGGCGCAAGCCUGAUCCAGCCAUACCGCGUGGGUGAAGAAGGCCUUCGGGUUGUAAAGCCCUUUUGUUGGGAAAGAAAAGCAGCAGGUUAAUACCCCGCUGUUCUGACGGUACCCAAAGAAUAAGCACCGGCUAACUUCGUG
This 492-nucleotide ribosomal RNA is filed under the name uncultured bacterium. Its description in RNAcentral is "partial 16S ribosomal RNA". It matches the Rfam family "Bacterial small subunit ribosomal RNA", at positions 29 to 507 of the family's 1533-position model. The record is from RNAcentral.